Molecule: ribosomal RNA, 328 nt
Filed under: uncultured eukaryote
Lineage: Eukaryota
Description: partial 18S ribosomal RNA
Rfam family: Eukaryotic small subunit ribosomal RNA
Source: RNAcentral
CCCUUAGAUGUUCUGGGCUGCACGCGCGCUACACUGAUGCGUUCAACGAGUUUAUAACCUUGCCCGAUAGGGUUGGGUAAUCUUUUGAAAACGCAUCGUGAUGGGGAUAGAUUAUUGAAAUUAUUAAUCUUGAACGAGGAAUUCCUAGUAAACGCAGAUCAUCAAUCUGCAUUGAUUACGUCCCUGCCCUUUGUACACACCGCCCGUCGCACCUACCGAUUGGAUGGUCCGGUGAAGCCUCGGGAUUGUGGUUCUUGCCGCUUUAUUGUGGCGUGACCGCGAGAACUUGUCUAAACCUUAUCAUCUAGAGGAAGGUGAAGUCGUAACA